Molecule: ribosomal RNA, 601 nt
Filed under: uncultured bacterium
Lineage: Bacteria
Description: bacterial SSU rRNA
Rfam family: Bacterial small subunit ribosomal RNA (bases 1-539)
Source: RNAcentral
CCUACGGGAGGCAGCAGUAAGGAAUAUUGGUCAAUGGAGGCAACUCUGGACCAGCCAUGCCGCGUGCAGGAAGACGGCCCUCUGGGUUGUAAACUGCUUUUAUUCGGGAAUAAACCUACUUACGUGUAAGUAGCUGAAUGUACCGAAGGAAUAAGGAUCGGCUAACUCCGUACCAGCAGCCGCGGUAAUACGGAGGAUCCAAGCGUUAUCCGGAUUUAUUGGGUUUAAAGGUGCGUAGGCGGCCUAUUAAGUCAGGGGUGAAAGACGGUAGCUCAACUAUCGCAGUGCCCUUGAUACUGAUGGGCUUGAAUGGACUAGAGGUAGGCGGAAUGUGACAAGUAGCGGUGAAAUGCAUAGAUAUGUCACAGAACACCGAUUGCGAAGGCAGCUUACUAUGGUCUUAUUGACGCUGAGGCACGAAAGCGUGGGGAUCGAAACAGGAUUAGAUACCCUGGUAGUCCACGCCCUAAACGAUGAAUACUCGCUGUUGGCGAUACACAGUCNGCGCAGACGAAGAGUAGUAUCACGNGGAGUACGCCGCGAGGAGAACGACGAAGAAGUAGAGCGNGAGACGAGCGACGGACGACGACGAGGGAGGAGG